CCAUAGAUGUCAACUAGCUGUUGGGGCCGUUAGGCCUUAGUAGCGCAGCUAACGCGUGAAGUUGACCGCCUGGGGAGUACGGUCGCAAGAUUAAAACUCAAAGGAAUUGACGGGGACCCGCACAAGCGGUGGAUGAUGUGGAUUAAUUCGAUGCAACGCGAAAAACCUUACCUACCCUUGACAUGUCUGGAAAGCCGAAGAGAUUUGGCCGUGCUCGCAAGAGAACCGGAACACAGGUGCUGCAUGGCUGUCGUCAGCUCGUGUCGUGAGAUGUUGGGUUAAGUCCCGCAACGAGCGCAACCCUUGUCAUUAGUUGCUACGCAAGAGCACUCUAAUGAGACUGCCGGUGACAAACCGGAGGAAGGUGGGGAUGACGUCAAGUCCUCAUGGCCCUUAUGGGUAGGGCUUCACACGUCAUACAAUGGUCGGGACAGAGGGUCGCCAACCCGCGAGGGGGAGCCAAUCUCAGAAACCCGAUCGUAGUCCGGAUCGCAGUCUGCAACUCGACUGCGUGAAGUCGGAAUCGCUAGUAAUCGCGGAUCAGAAUGUCGCGGUGAAUACGUUCCCGGGUCUUGUACACACCGCCCGUCACACCAUGGGAGUGGGUUUCACCAGAAGUAGGUAGCCUAACCGUAAGGAGGGCGCUUACCACGGUGGGAUUCAUGACUGGGGUGAAGUCGUAACAGG
Molecule: ribosomal RNA, 687 nt
Filed under: Alcaligenes faecalis
Lineage: Bacteria; Pseudomonadati; Pseudomonadota; Betaproteobacteria; Burkholderiales; Alcaligenaceae
Description: bacterial SSU rRNA
Rfam family: Bacterial small subunit ribosomal RNA
Source: RNAcentral